Molecule: small RNA, 29 nt
Filed under: Bombyx mori (domestic silkworm)
Lineage: Eukaryota; Metazoa; Arthropoda; Insecta; Lepidoptera; Bombycidae
Description: ovarian small RNA-7098
Source: RNAcentral
UCAUGUACCUAUUCCGAUUUAAAGGGUGA